This 445-nucleotide ribosomal RNA is filed under the name uncultured bacterium. Its description in RNAcentral is "partial 16S ribosomal RNA". It matches the Rfam family "Bacterial small subunit ribosomal RNA", at positions 354 to 796 of the family's 1533-position model. The record is from RNAcentral.
GUGAGGAAUAUUGGUCAAUGGGCGGGAGCCUGAACCAGCCAAGUCGCGUGAAGGAAGAAGGAUCUAUGGUUCGUAAACUUCUUUUGCAGGAGGGUAAAGUGAGCUACGUGUAGUUCAUUGCAAGUACCCUGCGAAUAAGCAUCGGCUAACUCCGUGCCAGCAGCCGCGGUAAUACGGAGGAUGCGAGCGUUAUCCGGAUUUAUUGGGUUUAAAGGGUGCGUAGGCGGACUAAUUAGUCAGCGGUGAAAUUUUGCGGCUCAACCGUAAAACUGCCGUCGAAACUGUUAGUCUUGAGUGCGGUAGAGGUAGGCGGAAUGUGUGGUGUAGCGGUGAAAUGCUUAGAUAUCACACAGAACACCGAUUGCGUAGGCAGCUUACUGGAGCGCAACUGACGCUGAGGCACGAAAGCGUGGGGAUCGAACAGGAUUAGAAACCCGGGUAGUCC